Molecule: ribosomal RNA, 622 nt
Filed under: Akkermansia muciniphila
Lineage: Bacteria; Pseudomonadati; Verrucomicrobiota; Verrucomicrobiia; Verrucomicrobiales; Akkermansiaceae
Description: bacterial SSU rRNA
Rfam family: Bacterial small subunit ribosomal RNA
Source: RNAcentral
UGGCGGCGUGGUUAAGACAUGCAAGUCGAACGAGAGAAUUGCUAGCUUGCUAAUAAUUCUCUAGUGGCGCACGGGUGAGUAACACGUGAGUAACCUGCCCCCGAGAGCGGGAUAGCCCUGGGAAACUGGGAUUAAUACCGCAUAGUAUCGAAAGAUUAAAGCAGCAAUGCGCUUGGGGAUGGGCUCGCGGCCUAUUAGUUAGUUGGUGAGGUAACGGCUCACCAAGGCGAUGACGGGUAGCCGGUCUGAGAGGAUGUCCGGCCACACUGGAACUGAGACACGGUCCAGACACCUACGGGUGGCAGCAGUCGAGAAUCAUUCACAAUGGGGGAAACCCUGAUGGUGCGACGCCGCGUGGGGGAAUGAAGGUCUUCGGAUUGUAAACCCCUGUCAUGUGGGAGCAAAUUAAAAAGAUAGUACCACAAGAGGAAGAGACGGCUAACUCUGUGCCAGCAGCCGCGGUAAUACAGAGGUCUCAAGCGUUGUUCGGGAUCACUGGGCGUAAAGCGUGCGUAGGCUGUUUCGUAAGUCGUGUGUGAAAGGCGCGGGCUCAACCCGCGGACGGCACAUGAUACUGCGAGACUAGAGUAAUGGAGGGGGAACCGGAAUUCACGGUGUAGCA